CCUGAUCCCUUCCCGAACUCAGAAGUGAAACGACGCAUCGCCGAUGGUAGUGUGGGGUCUCCCCAUGUGAGAGUAGGUCAUCGUCAAGC
Molecule: ribosomal RNA, 89 nt
Filed under: Pseudomonas aeruginosa
Lineage: Bacteria; Pseudomonadati; Pseudomonadota; Gammaproteobacteria; Pseudomonadales; Pseudomonadaceae
Also listed under: 1 other name
Source: RNAcentral